AAUACAGGGAGUACAUCUUGAGUUACAAUCUUCCCAAGAUCUACCUAUCCGACCAAAGAAGCCAUCUGGAGAUGCAUCGUUUGCUGAAGAAAGGUGGGCUAAAAGAUCAGCUAACCAUGUUUUUUAAAUGUCCCACAUUAUAUGCCCAUACCAAAAACAAAAGAUGGACCUGAACAUAGUCUAGAAGAUACUGUUAAAAAGCACCGACAUUGUAACAGCAUGGAAGUUGCGAAAUCACAAUUCCACCAAAAACAAUACCAUCAAAAGUUUAGAGACACAGACAGAGAUGUGUUAUAGAAAUUAUUCCAGAAGAUCUCUGGCCAAAUCUAGUUUUUACCUAAUGAAGCCGCAGGACUGGAUGAAGGUGCAUCUUCUGCAACGAAACC
This is a long non-coding RNA of Onychostoma macrolepis, 386 nucleotides long. RefSeq lists it as uncharacterized. The transcript is spliced from 3 exons. The record is from RefSeq and is a predicted model, not a curated record. NCBI's taxonomy places the organism in Eukaryota, Metazoa, Chordata, Actinopteri, Cypriniformes, Cyprinidae.